AGUGGACGCUGGCGGUAGGCCUAACACAUGCCAGUCGAACGGCAGCACAGUAAGAGCUUGCUCUUACGGGUGGCGAGUGGCGGACGGGUGAGGUAUACAUCGGAAUCUACUUUUUCGUGGGGGAUCACGUAAGGAAACUUACGCUAAUACCGCAUACGACCUACGGGUGAAAGCAGGGGAUCUUCGCACCUUGCGCGAUUGAAUGAGCCGAUGUGGGAUUAGCUAGUUGGCGGGGUUAAGGCCCACCAAGGCGACGAUCCGUAGCUGGACUGAGAGGAUGAUCAGCGGCACUGGAACUGAGACACGGUCCAGACUCCUACGGGAGGCAGCAGUGGGGAAUAUGGGACAAUGGGCGCAAGCCUUAUCCAGCCAUACCGCGUGGGUGGAGGAGGCCUUCGGGUUGUAAAGCCCUUUUGUUGGGAAAGAAAAGCAGCAGGUUAAUACCCCGCUGUUCUGACGGUACCCAAAGAAGAAGCACCGGCUAACUUCGUG
RNAcentral lists this ribosomal RNA (492 nucleotides) under uncultured bacterium. RNAcentral's name for it is "partial 16S ribosomal RNA". It matches the Rfam family "Bacterial small subunit ribosomal RNA", at positions 29 to 507 of the family's 1533-position model. The record is from RNAcentral.